This 301-nucleotide ribosomal RNA is filed under the name uncultured bacterium. RNAcentral describes it as "partial 16S ribosomal RNA". It matches the Rfam family "Bacterial small subunit ribosomal RNA", at positions 509 to 807 of the family's 1533-position model. The record is from RNAcentral.
CAGCCGCCGCGGUAAUACGGAGGGUGCAAGCGUUAAUCGGAAUUACUGGGCGUAAAGCGUGCGUAGGCGGUUCGUUAAGUCUGUUGUGAAAGCCCCGGGCCCAACCUGGGAAUGGCAAUGGAUACUGGCGAGCUAGAGUGUGUCAGAGGAUGGUGGAAUUCCCGGUGUAGCGGUGAAAUGCGUAGAGAUGUGGAGGAACACCAGUGGCGAAGGCGACUCUCUGGUCUGUAACUGACGCUGAGGAGCGAAAGCGUGGGGAGCGAACAGGAUUAGAUACCCCAGUAGUCCCUGUCUCUUAUAC